AGUGAACGCUGGCGGUAGGCCUAACACAUGCAAGUCGAACGGCAGCACAGUAAGAGCUUGCUCUUACGGGUGGCGAGUGGCGGACGAGUGAGGAAUACAUCGGAAUCUACUUUUUCGUGGGGGAUAACGUAGGGAAACUUACGCUAAUACCGCAUACGACCUACGGGUGAAAGCAGGGGAUCUUCGGACCUUGCGCGAUUGAAUGAGCCGAUGUCGGAUUAGCUAGUUGGCGGGGUAAAGGCCCACCAAGGCGACGAUCCGUAGCUGGUCUGAGAGGAUGAUCAGCCACACUGGAACUGAGACACGGUCCAGACUCCUACGGGAGGCAGCAGUGGGGAAUAUUGGACAAUGGGCGCAAGCCUGAUCCAGCCAUACCGCGUGGGUGAAGAAGGCCUUCGGGUUGUAAAGCCCUUUUGUUGGGAAAGAAAAGCAGCAGGUUAAUACCCCGCUGUUCCGACGGUACCCAAAGAAUAAGCACCGGCUAACUUCGU
RNAcentral lists this ribosomal RNA (491 nucleotides) under uncultured bacterium. Its description in RNAcentral is "partial 16S ribosomal RNA". It matches the Rfam family "Bacterial small subunit ribosomal RNA", at positions 29 to 506 of the family's 1533-position model. The record is from RNAcentral.